This 946-nucleotide ribosomal RNA is filed under the name Enterobacter sp. RNAcentral's name for it is "bacterial SSU rRNA". It matches the Rfam family "Bacterial small subunit ribosomal RNA", at positions 170 to 1084 of the family's 1533-position model. The record is from RNAcentral. Lineage: Bacteria; Pseudomonadati; Pseudomonadota; Gammaproteobacteria; Enterobacterales; Enterobacteriaceae.
CGCAUAACGUCUUCGGACCAAAGUGGGGGACCUUCGGGCCUCACACCAUCGGAUGUGCCCAAAUGGGAUUAGCUAGUAGGUGGGGUAAUGGCUCACCUAGGCGACGAUCCCUAGCUGGUCUGAGAGGAUGACCAGCCACACUGGAACUGAGACACGGUCCAUACUCCUACGGGAGGCAGCAAUGGGGAAUAUUGCACAAUGGGCGCAAGCCUGAUGCAGCCAUGCCGCGUGUAUGAAGAAGGCCUUCGGGUUGUAAAGUACUUUCAGCGGGGAGGAAGGCGAUGGAGUUAAUAGCUUCAAUCGAUUGACGUUACCCGCAGAAGAAGCCACCGGCUAAACUCCGUGCCCAGCAGCCGCGGUAAUACGGAGGGUGCAAGCGUUAAUCGGAAAUUACUGGGCGUAAAGCGCACGCAGGCGGUCUGUCAAAGUCGGAUGUGAAAUCCCCGGGCUUAACCUGGGAACUGCAUUCGAAAACUGGCAGGGCUAGAGUCUUGUAGAGGGGGGUAGGAAUUCCAGGGUGUAGCGGUGAAAUGCGUAGAGAUCUGGAGGAAUACCGGUGGCGAAGGCGGGCCCCCUGGACAAAGACUGACGCUCAGGUGCGAAAAGCGUGGGGAGCAAACAGGGAUUAGAUACCCUGGUAGUCCACGCCGUAAACGAUGUCGACUUGGAGGUUGUGCCCUUGAGGCGUGGCUUCCGGAGCUAACGCGUUAAGUCGACCGCCUGGGGAGUACGGCCGCAAGGUUAAAACUCAAAUGAAUUGACGGGGGCCCGCACAAGCGGUGGAGCAUGUGGUUUAAAUUCGAUGCAACGCCGAAGAACCUUAACCUACUCUUGACAUCCCAGAGGAAUUUUGGCAGAGGAUGGCUUUAGUGCCUUCGGGAACUCUGAGGACAGGUGCUGCCAUGGCUUGGUCGGUCAGCUCCGUGUUGUGAAAUGUUGGGUUAAG